RNAcentral lists this ribosomal RNA (482 nucleotides) under uncultured bacterium. RNAcentral describes it as "partial 16S ribosomal RNA". It matches the Rfam family "Bacterial small subunit ribosomal RNA", at positions 30 to 507 of the family's 1533-position model. The record is from RNAcentral.
AUUGAACGCUGGCGGCAUGCCUUACACAUGCAAGUCGAACGGUAACGGGCCUUCGGGUGCCGACGAGUGGCGAGCGGGUGAGUAAUACAUCGGAACGUGCCCGAUCGUGGGGGAUAACGAGGCGAAAGCUUUGCUAAUACCGCAUACGAUCUACGGAUGAAAGCAGGGGACCGCAAGGCCUUGCGCGGACGGAGCGGCCGAUGGCAGAUUAGGUAGUUGGUGGGAUAAAAGCUUACCAAGCCGACGAUCUGUAGCUGGUCUGAGAGGAUGAUCAGCCACACUGGGACUGAGACACGGCCCAGACCCCUACGGGAGGCAGCAGUGGGGAAUUUUGGACAAUGGGCGCAAGCCUGAUCCAGCCAUGCCGCGUGCAGGAUGAGGGCCUUCGGGUUGUAAACUGCUUUUGUACGGAACGAAAAGCCUUCUUUUAAUACAGGAGGGUCAUGACGGUACCGUAAGAAUAAGCACCGGCUAACUACGUG